Molecule: ribosomal RNA, 440 nt
Filed under: uncultured bacterium
Lineage: Bacteria
Description: partial 16S ribosomal RNA
Rfam family: Bacterial small subunit ribosomal RNA
Source: RNAcentral
CCUACGGGAGGCAGCAGUGGGGGAUAUUGCACAAUGGGGGAAACCCUGAUGCAGCGACGCCGCGUGGGUGAAGAAGCGCCUCGGCGCGUAAAGCCCUGUCAGCAGGGAAGAAAAUGACGGUACCUGAAGAAGAAGCCCCGGCUAACUACGUGCCAGCAGCCGCGGUAAUACGUAGGGGGCAAGCGUUAUCCGGAUUUACGGGGUGUAAAGGGGGCGCAGACGGCGAUGCAAGCCAGGAGUGAAAGCCCGGGGCCCAACCCCGGGACUGCUCUUGGAACUGCGUGGCUAGAGUGCAGGAGGGGCAGGCGGAAUUCCUGGUGUAGCGGUGAAAUGCGUAGAUAGCAGGAGGAACACCGGUGGCGAAGGCGGCCUGCUGGACUGCAACUGACGUUGAGGCCCGAAAGCGUGGGGAGCAAACAGGAUUAGAUACCCCAGUAGUC